GAGUGAAGUGUUAUGGAGCUUAGUACCUGCACUUAAGUCUUAAGUAAUUGAAAGACAAAAUAAUUAAGUCAAGCACUAUUCCUCCUGUCUAUACUUCACCUUUGUUCUAGAGUUUUUCAAUAGUUAAAAUUAAAACUCAGAGUUCCUAGCAAUGAUCUCUCAAGUCUCUCUAUAUGUGGUAUUUGUGGAUCCUUACUAAAAUGUCACUUACCUAUAGCUAAUGGAAUAUUUAAGUGGAGCUCAUAGGAGUGAAAAACAGCUCAUAUGUAUGUUGUCUAAUCGAGCCAUGGAUCCAAAGGAACUCAGCAUAUAAUUAAGUCAAGAUGUGCAUGUGUGGUGGAGUAAAUGAUAGUAAUGGUAAAAAAUGUAUAAGUGAUAAUAAAACUUAUUUCUCAUUGCUCCUCAUAUUGCUAUCUCUCCUCUUCUUUGAUCUUUGCUUUGGGAGAACAUGGGCUAUCUUUUUCUUUUCUUUUUCUUAGGUGGGUAGUAGAUACCCCUAAUUCUACUGUCGGACACAUGUCCGUUUUUUUCUGCUCAAGUGGGUAUCUUUGUACCCCUAAUUCUACUCUGGACACUUGUCCAUUUUUACCUCCCGUCUCACUUUUUUUUCUUUCUCUUUCGAGGUUCCGGGCACUUGCCCCUUUUUAUUUCCUCGCAUAUUUCUGCAUAAUCCAUGCCACUUCUGCAUUGAAUCUUUUUAGAGAGAGAAUAACAACAUUUGGGACAGUGAGUGAUAAUAUUUUUAGCAAUUUUAAUAAUUGGUGGUGGAUGGUGUAGUAGAUGUGUGCAAGUGAAUAUCUUAAUUUAACCACAUCAAAAGCUCCUAAGGGUCUACACAGCUCGAUCAAACUCAGUGUGAAUAUAAGUAAAAGAUGUUAUAGCAAGUAUGGUUG
RNAcentral lists this long non-coding RNA (893 nucleotides) under Sorghum bicolor (sorghum). RNAcentral describes it as "long non-coding RNA (SBIC_LNC017874)". The record is from RNAcentral. Lineage: Eukaryota; Viridiplantae; Streptophyta; Magnoliopsida; Poales; Poaceae.